UUUUUGGUGGUCUAGUGGCUAAGACUCUGCAGUCCCAAUGUGAGGGGCCCAGGUUCGAUCCCUGGUCAGGGAA
This 73-nucleotide transfer RNA is filed under the name Bos taurus (domestic cattle). It matches the Rfam family "tRNA". From Rfam's summary of the family: Transfer RNA (tRNA) molecules are approximately 80 nucleotides in length. Their secondary structure includes four short double-helical elements and three loops (D, anti-codon, and T loops). RNAcentral also lists the same sequence under 4 other names. The record is from Rfam by way of RNAcentral. Lineage: Eukaryota; Metazoa; Chordata; Mammalia; Artiodactyla; Bovidae.